Molecule: ribosomal RNA, 253 nt
Filed under: uncultured bacterium
Lineage: Bacteria
Description: partial 16S ribosomal RNA
Rfam family: Bacterial small subunit ribosomal RNA
Source: RNAcentral
UACGUAGGAUCCAAGCGUUAUCCGGAAUCAUUGGGUUUAAAGGGUCCGUAGGCGGUUCUGUAAGUCAGUGGUGAAAGCCCAUCGCUCAACGGUGGAACGGCCAUUGAUACUGCAAGACUUGAAUUAUUGGGAAGUAACUAGAAUAUGUAGUGUAGCGGUGAAAUGCUUAGAGAUUACAUGGAAUACCAAUUGCGAAGGCAGGUUACUACCAAUAUAUUGACGCUGAUGGACGAAAGCGUGGGGAGCGAACAGG